Molecule: ribosomal RNA, 464 nt
Filed under: uncultured bacterium
Lineage: Bacteria
Description: bacterial SSU rRNA
Rfam family: Bacterial small subunit ribosomal RNA
Source: RNAcentral
AUUGAACGCUGGCGGCAUGCCUUACACAUGCAAGUCGAACGGUAACGCGGGGCAACCUGGCGACGAGUGGCGAACGGGUGAGUAAUGCAAUCGGAACGUGCCUGGUAGUGGGGGGAUAACUGCUCGAAAGAGCAGCUAAUACCGCAUACGACCUGAGGGUGAAAGGGGGGGAUCGCAAGACCUCUCGCUAUCAGAGCGGCCGAUGUCGGAUUAGCUAGUUGGUGGGGUAAAGGCCCACCAAGGCGACGAUCCGUAGCUGGUCUGAGAGGGCGACCGGCCACACUGGGACUGAGACACGGCCCAGACUCCUACGGGAGGCAGCAGUGGGGAAUAUUGGGCAAUGGAGGAAACUCUGACCCAGCGACGCCGCGUGAGGGAUGAAGGCCUUCGGGUUGUAAACCUCUUUCAGUAGGGAAGAAGCGAAAGUGACGGUACCUACAGAAGAAGCACCGGCUAACUAUGUG